Molecule: ribosomal RNA, 766 nt
Filed under: uncultured Streptococcus sp.
Lineage: Bacteria; Bacillati; Bacillota; Bacilli; Lactobacillales; Streptococcaceae
Description: bacterial SSU rRNA
Rfam family: Bacterial small subunit ribosomal RNA
Source: RNAcentral
GACGAACGCAGGCGGCGUGCCUAAUACAUGCAAGUAGAACGCUGAAGAGAGGAGCUUGCUCUUCUGGGAUGAGUUGCGAACGGGUGAGUAACGCGUAGGUAACCUGCCUUGUAGCGGGGGAUAACUAUUGGAAACGAUAGCUAAUACCGCAUAACAAUGGAUGACCCAUGUCAUUUAUUUGAAAAGGGGCAAAUGCUCCACUACAAGAUGGACCUGCGUUGUAUUAGCUAGUAGGUGAGGUAACGGCUCACCUAGGCGACGAUACAUAGCCGACCUGAGAGGGUGAUCGGCCACACUGGGACUGAGACACGGCCCAGACUCCUACGGGAGGCAGCAGUAGGGAAUCUUCGGCAAUGGGGGCAACCCUGACCGAGCAACGCCGCGUGAGUGAAGAAGGUUUUCGGAUCGUAAAGCUCUGUUGUAAGUCAAGAACGAGUGUGAGAGUGGAAAGUUCACACUGUGACGGUAGCUUACCAGAAAGGGACGGCUAACUACGUGCCAGCAGCCGCGGUAAUACGUAGGUCCCGAGCGUUGUCCGGAUUUAUUGGGCGUAAAGCGAGCGCAGGCGGUUUGAUAAGUCUGAAGUUAAAGGCUGUGGCUCAACCAUAGUUCGCUUUGGAAACUGUCAAACUUGAGUGCAGAAGGGGAGAGUGGAAUUCCAUGUGUAGCGGUGAAAUGCGUAGAUAUAUGGAGGAACACCGGUGGCGAAAGCGGCUCUCUGGUCUGUAACUGACGCUGAGGCUCGAAAGCGUGGGGAGCGAACAGG